RNAcentral lists this ribosomal RNA (301 nucleotides) under uncultured bacterium. RNAcentral describes it as "partial 16S ribosomal RNA". It matches the Rfam family "Bacterial small subunit ribosomal RNA", at positions 509 to 809 of the family's 1533-position model. The record is from RNAcentral.
CAGCAGCCGCGGGAAUACGUAGGUGGCAAGCGUUGUCCGGAAUUAUUGGGCGUAAAGCGCGCGCAGGCGGAUCAGUUAGUCUGUCUUAAAAGUUCGGGGCUUAACCCCGUGAGGGGAUGGAAACUGCUGAUCUAGAGUAUCGGAGAGGAAAGUGGAAUUCCUAGUGUAGCGGUGAAAUGCGUAGAUAUUAGGAAGAACACCAGUGGCGAAGGCGACUUUCUGGACGAAAACUGACGCUGAGGCGCGAAAGCCAGGGGGGCGAACGGGAUUAGAUACCCCCGUAGUCCCUGUCUCUUAUACA